RNAcentral lists this ribosomal RNA (309 nucleotides) under uncultured bacterium. RNAcentral describes it as "partial 16S ribosomal RNA". It matches the Rfam family "Bacterial small subunit ribosomal RNA", at positions 504 to 807 of the family's 1533-position model. The record is from RNAcentral.
AGAGACAGCAGUCGCCGCGGUAAUACGUAGGGUGCAAGCGUUAAUCGGAAUUACUGGGCGUAAAGCGUGCGCAGGCGGUUAUAUAAGACAGAUGUGAAAUCCCCGGGCUCAACCUGGGAACUGCAUUUGUGACUGUAUAGCUAGAGUACGGCAGAGGGGGAUGGAAUUCCGCGUGUAGCAGUGAAAUGCGUAGAUAUGCGGAGGAACACCGAUGGCGAAGGCAAUCCCCUGGGCCUGUACUGACGCUCAUGCACGAAAGCGUGGGGAGCAAACAGGAUUAGAUACCCGCGUAGUCCCUGUCUCUUAUAC